RNAcentral lists this non-coding RNA (93 nucleotides) under uncultured Bulleidia sp. Its description in RNAcentral is "Purine riboswitch". It matches the Rfam family "Purine riboswitch aptamer". Rfam says of the family: Riboswitches are metabolite binding domains within certain messenger RNAs that serve as precision sensors for their corresponding targets. Allosteric rearrangement of mRNA structure is mediated by ligand binding, and this results in modulation of gene expression. A class of riboswitches that selectively recognises guanine and becomes saturated at concentrations as low as 5 nM. The record is from RNAcentral. Lineage: Bacteria; Bacillati; Bacillota; Erysipelotrichia; Erysipelotrichales; Erysipelotrichaceae.
AAAAACGUUAUUUCACAUUCGUAUAUGCUUUCGGAUCUGGCGAGAGUGUCUCUACCCCGCCGCCAUAACGGCGGGACUACGAUUGUCGUUUUU